RNAcentral lists this ribosomal RNA (465 nucleotides) under uncultured bacterium. Its description in RNAcentral is "partial 16S ribosomal RNA". It matches the Rfam family "Bacterial small subunit ribosomal RNA", at positions 28 to 507 of the family's 1533-position model. The record is from RNAcentral.
GACGAACGCUGGCGGCGUGCUUAACACAUGCAAGUCGAACGGAAAGGCCCUGCUUGCAGGGUACUCGAGUGGCGAACGGGUGAGUAACACGUGGGUGAUCUGCCCUGCACUUCGGGAUAAGCCUGGUAAACUGGGUCUAAUACCGGAUAGGAGCCAUUUUUAGUGUGAUGGUUGGAAAGUUUUUUCGGUGUAGGAUGAGCUCGCGGCCUAUCAGCUUGUUGGUGGGGUAAUGGCCUACCAAGGCGGCGACGGGUAGCCGGCCUGAGAGGGUGGACGGCCACAUUGGGACUGAGAUACGGCCCAGACGCCUACGGGAGGCAGCAGUGGGGAAUAUUGCACAAUGGGCGCAAGCCUGAUGCAGCGACGCCGCGUGGGGGAUGACGGCCUUCGGGUUGUAAACUCCUUUCGCUAGGGACGAAGCUUUUUGUGACGGUACCUAGAUAAGAAGCACCGGCUAACUACGUG